CCUGUAUUCUCGUUCAAGUCACGCGUUAUUUCUGUUCUUUGUCACGUGAGUCAGUGCGGCCUAUCGCGUGUGAUUACUAUAGCGCUGUGAUUCAGUCUGGGAAGGUGCAGUGGGGAAGCUAGACGAGAGACGAGCUACAGGAACCCUCUACCGCGCUGAAAUCUGCGAAGAACGUGUUUAUGUGGGGCAUAAACUGUCGACUGGCCAGGUUCUGAAGGAUGGCGAGCUAAAAGGAGCAGGCCGAGAACCUACAGAUUGCAGAGGCAGUGAGGAGUCGCUUGUCCUGCCAGGCUGGUAGGGGGUUUCAGUAGCCCACCAAAAAAAAAAACUCUAUCCCACUCAUUCCGCCCACGACACCGUCACAUUCCUCACCACAAACUCUUCCACUAAUAUCCCCGUUGGACUCAACUUAAACCCAGACGUGGGUUUUCAUGAACUGUGGGUGGGAUGCUUUGGUUAUGGUUUUGGUUUUGAGUUUUACCUAAACUUGAGUCUAUGAGACUCUAAAGAACGCUACUGUCGAACUCUUUUGACUUGUCAUUGUGAAUGCUGCCUAUCGCACAUUGUAUAUAAUUGAUUGUUAAUUUACUUGAAUGGCCAUUCUUAGGAGGUGUUUCCUCAAUAUUGUCACUGUAUAUAAUUGCACUUUAUUUUUUCCAUUCAAUAUAUGGUAUAUUUAAAAGCAAUUUCAGCCUCCUGUCCACUCUCUCCAUGAGCGAAUCCUAGACUUCUGAUUAUUAGCCUAAUAUAGCUUAC
Molecule: long non-coding RNA, 756 nt
Organism: Cheilinus undulatus (humphead wrasse)
Lineage: Eukaryota; Metazoa; Chordata; Actinopteri; Labriformes; Labridae
Exons: 3
Source: RefSeq, a predicted model, not a curated record